GCCAGUGUGGUGUACUGGUUUGAGUGCUGGAAUAUGAUUCUGGAGACCAGGGUUCAAAUCCCAGCUCGGCCA
This 72-nucleotide transfer RNA is filed under the name Phrynosoma platyrhinos (Desert horned lizard). RNAcentral's name for it is "tRNA-OTHER". Lineage: Eukaryota; Metazoa; Chordata; Lepidosauria; Squamata; Phrynosomatidae. The record is from RNAcentral.